RNAcentral lists this ribosomal RNA (1206 nucleotides) under metagenome. Its description in RNAcentral is "bacterial LSU rRNA". It matches the Rfam family "Bacterial large subunit ribosomal RNA", at positions 1702 to 2925 of the family's 2925-position model. The record is from RNAcentral.
UCUCUAAGGAACUCGGCAAAAUGACUCCGUAACUUCGGGAGAAGGAGUGCCUUAUUUCUAAGGUUGCAAUAACAAGAUCCAAGCAACUGUUUAUCAAAAACACAGGUCUCCGCUAAGUCGUAAGACGAUGUAUGGGGGCUGACGCCUGCCCAGUGCCAGAAGGUUAAAGAAGUUGGUUAGCAUUUUGCGAAGCUGAUAACUGAAGCCCUGGUGAACGGCGGCCGUAACAAUAACGGUCCUAAGGUAGCGAAAUUCCUUGUCGGGUAAGUUCCGACCCGCACGAAAGGCGUAAUGAUUUGGAUACUGUCUCGGAGAGGGACUCGGUGAAAUAGACUUGUCUGUGAAGAUGCGGACUACCUGCACCUGGACAGAAAGACCCUAUGAAGCUUUACUGUAACUUGAAAUUGAAAUUGGACUUUAUUUGCGCAGUAUAGGUGGGAGGCGUUGAGAAUAUUCUUGCGGGAGUAUUGGAGCCAUCAGUGAGAUACCACUCUUGUAAUGUUAGAUUUCUAACUUUGUAUCAUUAUCUGGUCAAAGAACAGUUUCAGGCGGGCAGUUUGACUGGGGCGGUCGCCUCCCAAAUGGUAACGGAGGCGCACAAAGGUUUCCUCUGAACGGGUAGAAAUCGUAUCUAGAGUGUAAAGGCAUAAGGAAGCUUGACUGUGAGACCUACAAGUCGAGCAGGACGAAAGUCGGUCUUAGUGAUCUGACGGUGCUGAGUGGAAAGGCCGUCACUCAACGGAUAAAAGUUACUCUAGGAUAACAGGCUGAUCUCUCCCAAGAGUUCACAUCGACGGGGAGGUUUGGCACCUCGAUGUCGGCUCAUCGCAUCCUGGGGCGGUAGUACGUCCCAAGGGUUGGGCUGUUCGCCCAUGAAAGCGGUACGCGAGCUGGGUUCAGAACGUCGUGAGACAGUUCGGUCCAUAUCCGGUGUAGGCGUUAGAAUAUUGAGAGGAGCCUUCUUUAGUACGAGAGGACCGAGAAGGACAUACCUCUGGUGUACCAGUUAUCGUGCCAACGGUAAACGCUGGGUAGCUAUGUAUGGAGAGGAUAACCGCUGAAAGCAUCUAAGUGGGAAGCCCACCUCAAGAUAAGUAUUCUCAUCACGUAAGUGAAUAAGGUCACGGUAAGACUAACCGUUUGAUAGGCAUUAAGUGUAAAUCUAGUAAUAGGUGAGCUGAGAUGUACUAACAGACCGAAGACUUG